RNAcentral lists this long non-coding RNA (4202 nucleotides) under Musa acuminata (dwarf banana). RNAcentral describes it as "long non-coding RNA (MACU_LNC000899)". Lineage: Eukaryota; Viridiplantae; Streptophyta; Magnoliopsida; Zingiberales; Musaceae. The record is from RNAcentral.
AUCAGACCCGAUUACAUGGCUUCAAGUCUUCCUUCUCCUUCAAAAAUUCUGCCACUCUUACGGAUCUCUUGCUCUCCACCUGUUUGUUGUGGUAUGCGUGCAGGACUCGGUUCAAUUAUGGGCUACGGAAGAACAUAGCCUAAGAUUCCACUUUAUCCGGACUUCAGGUAAAAAUCGAAUCUUUUGUCAGUACUGACAUCUUCUUCCAUCUACAUCACAACGACUACUCAUUCGGGGGGGCCUUCACCUGUACAAAAGGACAAAAAAAAUAAAAAGCAAAAGGACUGCGCUUGCUAACGAAAGGAGAGGAAUCAGCUCAUACCCAUUCAUUGAGAUAUUCCCAUUAUCAUUCUGGAGUUGGAAGAAGCCCUGCUUGAGCUUCCAAUCCCUUCUCUUCAUCUCUUCUCGUCCUCUCAUCAUAUCCAAAGUUGCUCCUGGCCACCCUCAAUUGUGGAUCACAAAUUUUGCUGUACUACCAAGGAAGAUGGAUUUCAAACAAGAAGUUGCUCCUGGCCAUCUUCAAUUGUGGAUCACAAAUUUUGCUGUACUACCAAGGAAGAUGGAUUUCAAACAAGAUUGAGGAAGACAGAUAAGUACAAAUUACCAAAGGUCUUGAAUUUUAGAUAAGCCUAAAAUGCCAAUUUUUAUGGUUCGAUUACGUAUGGGCUUGCGUGGCAUUAGACUAAUGAUUAAUCCAACAGCUGAAAGAAAAAUAUCUGGUGCACGGAGAGAGAUGAUAUGUGGAGUAGCAAAUAUUGCUGCUCCCAUGUCCAUCAUUGAUAUAAUCAGUGGUGGAACAAAGAUCAGAUAUUCUGUAAGACCUACCCAUCAGGCUUCACUAGUUCUCCUAAUGUAUCAGAGUGAGGAACACUGAAGCUAACUAACCUGUAAAUUGAAUAAGAAUGGUGGAAUGGAAUUCAUACGAUUUAGGGAUUGGAUACAUCUAAAGCAGAAUGCUUAUAGAAGUAGUGAAUACAUGAAUUUUUACAUAUCUGCCUGAUUUAUGUUCAAUGCUGGCUGAAAUCAAGUCAAUAGACAAAAGAUAGCCACCUGUAACUCUAGUGCUUUAAUCAAAAUUACGAAGUAUAAAUGACUCGAUCAAGUAACUAAGUAGUUUCACAACAGAGAGUAAAUUUAAAAUGGUCAUGUGUAGGUUACCAAAAUGAAUAUUUUUCUUAUGUUCUACAAGGAAAUGCAACAUAAUCACAAUAAAAUUAUCAUAGUAUUUUGACAGUAGUAGUAGAACAAUCAAGAAAAUAUGUCUGCUGAUAUGCCUCUAUAGUCCAUUUUAUGAAAGAAUUUUGUGAACCAUCAAAUAUGGAGAAAAUAGUGUGCAGAGAGAUGUGUUUCAGGUGUCAUAACUGAAAGGCAAAUAGAUAAGAGAUAUUUACUGUGAUGGUGUGAUUUAGUGUAGAAACAUUAAAGUGGUGCUCCCAUAAUCAGGAGAAAGCAAGAGGCACACAUGUAAAAUGCUCUUCCAAUUCUUACCCGUAGCUGGCUUCAGACUUCCUUCCCCUGCGAUCAUAUGAUUGAUGUCAAUUAGCAAAUAGUUGUGAUCAUUCUUGCUAGUGCACGGCUGUCCCAAAGGUACAAACUGCAAGAGACGUUUACAUUCUAACAGUAAAUAAUAACAUUUUUUUCCUAUGUCAAUCAGGGGGCUACUUUCAGUAGCUAAAGGGAGAAAACCACAUUCCUUCCUAAUGUGUUCAGUUUAGUCACCAGAAAUCAUUUGAAGCAGCUUCCCUUGGCUGACUUAUUUUGCUUCAGCCGAAAUUAACUUUGUCAUGCUCAAGAAUGGAAAAUCAUCAUAGACAGUUCACAGUUAAAAAUUCAGCAAUCUUCCUUAAAAUCAUAAAUAAAGGUGUCGACUGGUGAAAUGAAAUCACUACCUAUACCGCAAUCGGCUUAGCAUGCAUCUCACUAUAGAAAAGUCGAGAAAAAAGUUAUAUAGCUAAGCAAUAUGCAACAUCUGACAUUAUUGUAUUUACUUAAAGAACUGAUAGAUUGUGUUCAUUGGCUAUUUUCUUUGAACGAAUUGCAGUUGAAAUCAUCAACAACCAUCCUGCGUUUUAAUCUAAUAAGCUUGAAGAACUCACAGCAAUAUGACUUAUGUAAUUAGUUCAGAAAAAUGAAUUAUUUACAUGCAUACAAAUUUAUAACUAUUUGACCUAAACAAAUAUUCAUAUUGGGGUUAUCAGCCACAGAAAGAAACGUUGGUUUUCUUCUGAGUCGUAUAUCAGCUGACACAUAUUGUUAGAUGAAGAAUCAGGAUGUGAUCCAUGUGCAAAAUUUAGGCCAACCUAGGUAUCGACUUAUGUUUCCACUUUCCACCAAACUGAGAGGAAUUGAUAUGAACCAGCACACACCAAUGACAUGAUUUUAUACUUUUCUCUUGCACUGAUAACCUUCGGGAUUUGCAAGAAUAGCAUCUUAGAUCUAACAUUCUAGAACAGUAGACUUGACCACUACAUAUGAUAUCAUAUAAAGGUACUCGAGCACAGAUUAAUAAAUAGUUUCAUAAGAAUAGAACUUAUGCCAAAUUAAUCAGAAGGCAUGUGAGAAAACACAAAUUAAGGUUGCCUCCCAAUUAGAUGACAAUACCAUCUACACUAACUAGAUUGCAGUUGAUGCAGCACAUAAGUUUUUAGUUAAGACCAUCAUAUGUUGACAUUAAUGCAUAUGAGAAAUUCCAUACUGUGAUACCAAUCAGCUCCAUGAAAAUAGAUCUGAUUCAGUUGGGAAGCAACGUCACCAUGGUAGUAGGUGUAUAUCGUGUGAAUUUUGUCUUCAAGGACAAGUUUUAUUAGUGAUGAUAAUGAAUCAAAGAUUAGAAAGUGUCUCCUGCUGCCACCACUUUCUAGAUGAACCAUUGUUAAAAAUGUUCAAUGCAUUUGAAGACCAGCUACCAAACUCCAUUUGUAAUUAUUGUGCGGUAAAAGAACUUGAUGCUUCAGUAUGCAUUCAGCUUGACACAGAACAACCAACAACUCAAAGAUGUCAAAUAAUUACUGGCAUAGUACGUAGCUCAUAGUCUUCUUAAGCCUACUUUCUUCAGCCUACAAUGGGAAAAUAGCAAUCAAUAUCAACCAUGAAAAGAUAUGAAAUUUCAAAUUUGCACAAUACAAGUAUGUCCCUGAUUAUCAUUUACAUAAUUCACACUUGAAUGACUGCUAUAGAUAAUCAAUGUUCAUAUAAAGAAUACAGAUCAAAUCUAAAGCAGAAACAAGAAGGUAUAGGAUUUGAUCUCUCCAACCAAAGUGUCAUACCUCAUACUUUAGAUUACCCAUAUCCGUGACAGUUUAGGGAAAAAGAGUUGUGGAGUAUCCAAGAUCAAAAUAACACCCAAAUGCAUGUCUGCAACACCCAAUGCAGAGUGAAAACAAAUCUGGAUAGCAUGAUUGGUGAAUCAAAUGACAAAAAGCUUAUGACUGCAUUGAAGAUUCCAAUAGUUUAACAAGAAAGUGAAUACUGGAGACCCCAUUAGUAGAAUAUUCACCUGUAAUAGGUAGAUCAUAUAAGGGAGAAUUUCCUACAGAUUGAUUCUGAAUGCUAGAAAUUUUAGGUGGGGGUAAAACCACUAACAUUCUUACUUGCGUUUUUGCCUGAAGAGGAUGAUCCCACUAUUUCAAUUAACCGACCAUCUCACAGACCUCCUCCAAAGAGGAGGUCAAUCCUGACCACUCAUGAAGCAACAAAAAUCAUCAUAUUGUUCAAGAGAGAACAUUCGGUGGAACGUUAUGAACUCUACUAGAGGCUAGGGAUUAAAUUCAAGAUACCCUUCACAUCCACUGAGAAGAACUAGCCUCUUCCACUCAGCAUCAUCUAACCAUGGUGGUCAUUAACACCUCUUCGAUGCCCUGUUUUAUUAUGUUAGAUUAACAUAUUUUGUUAGGUUAGUGCUUACGGUUAAUGGGAAAAAAAGAUAUCAAUUUACGCCAAUUCACGAAUCUAAAUAAACAGAAUGAAAAUCUUAGGAAAAAGGAUAUGCAAUCUUUUAAAAUUAUAUAUGAAAUAGUUAUCAAUUUCUAGAUAUCACUCACGAAGACAUAAACAAAAUAACAGAACAUUCAACCUGGACUAGUUGACGAAAAGACCAAGUUUCUCUGAUCUAUGGAGAAGCGCAUUGGUUGAAGAACCCUACCACAUCCUCGCUUGGAACAGAUCCUGAGCCAGGGUUUCGAGGUCGACACAUAGCUAGAAGG